Long non-coding RNA from Xyrauchen texanus (razorback sucker), 1083 nucleotides. RefSeq lists it as uncharacterized. Lineage: Eukaryota; Metazoa; Chordata; Actinopteri; Cypriniformes; Catostomidae. The transcript has 3 exons. The record is from RefSeq and is a predicted model, not a curated record.
CAGAUCAGGUAAUGAUGGGAAAUAUAGUACAUGGGGAACAGAUGACAGAGGCAACACAGGCAGAUGGCUAGAAGAACUGAAUAAGUCCAGCAGAAGGCCAGGACAGCAGAGUUGAACAGGUGGAAAGCCACAAACAUUCAAAUAUUGACCAAUACUGAACAGAAAUCAGGGCAUUAUAUACACAAAGACUAAUGAGAUAAUUAAACACAGGUGAGGAAUAAUGGGAAACAGCUGGAGGUGAUCAGAUCAGGUAAUGAUGGGAAAUAUAGUACAUGGGGAACAGAUGACAGAGGCAACACAGGCAGAUGGCUAGAAGAACUGAAUAAGUCCAGCAGAAGGCCAGGACAGCAGAGCUGAUCAGGUGGACAGCCACAAACAAACAUUCAACUACUGAACAGAAAUCAGGGCAUUAUAUACACAAAGACUAAUGAGAUAAUUAAACACAGGUGUGGAAUAAUGGGAAACAGCUGGAGGUGAUCAGAUCAGGUAAUGAUUGGAAAUAUAGUACAUGGGGAACAGAUGACAGAUCUAACACACCAGAGGCAAGGGAAUGAGGAGAACAUGGCCCAGAUGAAGUCGGAGAGCAGUGAGACUGGAGCAGAUCAAGCAGAUGGCCAGGAGGCCCAGGAGACCAGAGAGGAUCAGGUGGAACGCCACGAGACAUGAGCAGGUCAGGCAGAUGGCUAGAAGAACAGAGCAAGUCCAGCAGAAGGCCAGGACAGCAGAGCUGAUCAGGUGGACAGCCACAAACAAACAUUCAACUACUGAACAGAUAUCAGGGCAUUAUAUACACAAAGACUAAUGAGAUAAUUAAACACAGGUGAGGAAUAAUGGGAAACAGCUGGAGGUGAUCAGAUCAGGUAAUGAUGGGAAAUAUAGUACAUGGGGAACAGAUGACAGAGGCAACACAGGCAGAUGGCUAGAAGAACAGAACAAGUCCAGCAGAAGGCCAGGACAGCAGAGCUGAUCAGGUGGACAGCCACGACACCAGAGACACCAGAGCAGGUCCAGUAGACGGCCAGGAAAGUAGAAAUCCACGGUAGAAAACAAUAAUAUAAAGAGGAAAAAACAUCCUCGUAGGGC